AGAGUUUGAUCAUGGCUCAGAACGAACGCUGGCGGCAGGCUUAACACAUGCAAGUCGAACGCUCGUAGCAAUACGGGAGUGGCAGACGGGUGAGUAACGCGUGGGAACAUACCCUCCGGUUCGGAAUAGCUCAGGGAAACUUGGAUUAAUACCGGAUACGGCUGAGAGGCGAAAGAUUUAUCGCCGGAGGAUUGGCCCGCGUUCGAUUAGCUUGUUGGUGAGGUAACGGCUCACCAAGGCGAUGAUCGAUAGCUGGUCUGAGAGGAUGAUCAGCCACAUUGGGACUGAGACACGGCCCAAACUCCUACGGGAGGCAGCAGUGGGGAAUAUUGGACAAUGGGCGCAAGCCUGAUCCAGCCAUGCCGCGUGAGUGAUGACGGCCUUAGGGUUGUAAAGCUCUUUCGCUCGGGACGAUAAUGACGGUACCGAGAUAAGAAGCCCCGGCUAACUUCGUGCCAGCAGCCGCGGUAAUACGAAGGGGGCUAGCGUUGUUCGGAAUUACUGGGCGUAAAGCGCGUGUAGGCGGGUCUUUAAGUCAGGGGUGAAAUGCCAAGGCUCAACCUUGGAACUGCCUUUGAUACUGGAGAUCUUGAGUCCGAGAGAGGUGAGUGGAAUUGCGAGUGUAGAGGUGAAAUUCGUAGAUAUUCGCAAGAACACCAGUGGCGAAGGCGGCUCACUGGCUCGGAACUGACGCUGAGCGCGAAAGCGUGGGGAGCAAACAGGAUUAGAUACCCUAGUAGUCC
RNAcentral lists this ribosomal RNA (743 nucleotides) under uncultured bacterium. Its description in RNAcentral is "bacterial SSU rRNA". It matches the Rfam family "Bacterial small subunit ribosomal RNA", at positions 8 to 796 of the family's 1533-position model. The record is from RNAcentral.